CAGUUCGGAUCGCAGUCUGCAACUCGACUGCGUGAAGGUGGAGUCGCUAGUAAUCGCGGAUCAGCAACGCCGCGGUGAAUGCGUUCCCGGGCCUUGUACACACCGCCCGUCAAGUCAUGAAAGUGGGCAGCACCCGAAGACGGUGGCCUAACCCUUGUGGGGGGAGGCCGUCUAAGGUGAGGCUCGUGAUUGGGACUAAGUCGUAACAAGGUAUC
RNAcentral lists this ribosomal RNA (215 nucleotides) under uncultured bacterium. RNAcentral describes it as "partial 16S ribosomal RNA". It matches the Rfam family "Bacterial small subunit ribosomal RNA", at positions 1289 to 1500 of the family's 1533-position model. The record is from RNAcentral.